CUUUUUUGCAAAACUACGCGCACUAAUCCACUCCCCCUCCCACAAACCCUAGCCGCCGCCGCCAGUCCCCUCCUCCCUCUCGUUCAUUGCUCAGUAUGUAUCAUCGAGAAUGGUACGGAUUCCCAAUAAACUGAUGUUGGGUGAUCUAAUAACUGAAGGCAAAAUGAAGUAAUAUAAUCGCAUCAAUUUGUAAUGUUGUGGGGAGUUGAUUUUGUUUUUGUUUUUCUGUACUGAUGAGGUGUAGGCUAGCAGCGCCCGCCAACCGGCACUGAGGUAAGGAGUUCCACAACCACAGCACUCAGAUGCAAAUAAUGGGCAUGCCUCUGUCUAAGCUACUAAGCAGAGAAGCACACUGCAAAUAAGAGCUGAGUGAGCUGGGAGCUGCCAAUCUCUGUUUUCUCUUUUUCUUGGAUUGCAAUUUUUGAUUUUAGAUUGGAUAUUUGAGAGAAUGCAUAGGAAAGGGAAAGGAAAAGGGAAAGGGAUGCCUUUACAUUGUACUUAUCUUUCCUUACGUUACCUAUCUCAGAUGUGGUCAUAGUAAUAUACUUUUUUCUUUGUGCCACUUAUCUUUCCUUUCUAUGCUCCACUGAUAUAUCAGCUGGUCCAUGUGCCAUUUGGUGAUUGCUGCUUACAUAGUUAUUUUUAUUUAUCUCCGUACGCUAUGUGAUGUUAUAUUCCCUUCUCGAUAUAUGUUCAGCCAUUCAAUCAGUUUUGAUUAGUUAAUGUUCAUGCAUCAGAUUUGUUAAUACAAAAUGUUCUCUGAUCUGGUAUUCAGCUUGGCUACCAGUACAUGUUACAAGUUCAAUCUUCCACAAGCAAUUGAGAAAGGUUGCAGGUGAGAGGCAAGCAGAAGCAUGACAGGAAUAUUGAUUUACUUACAUGAUAACCGUUGUGCCAUUAGUUUCAUCUGCAUGUAACCUAAAUAAUUUCACGGUGCUCAACUGGAUCACUGUGGGUGUAGUUUCAUUGCUCAUUUCCCAUCCUUGGACAAUCGGAGGUCAUUGAGAUUAAACUCUGCUUGCUUCGCAUCCUCCAGUAAGUUAUGUUCAGCAUGGAUGGUGACUUUGGUCCAUUGCUUGAGCUUAUCAAGUUACACAGAAUGUAUGGGCUUUUGUUGGUCAUGGACGUUCCUUGGACAGUUGGAGAUCAUUGUGAUGUUGGUGUAAUUGGGCUUACUAAGUGCUCUGGUACUCAUGGGCUUCUUCCCUGUUUUGACACCUUUUUGUUAGUAUCAAUUCAGAGAGAGACAAUUUGCGUACAUCCCUUGGAUUUCAUGAUCUGGACAAUCUUGGUUUGCAGCCCCAAGUAAAGGGCAAGUGUACGAAUUUAGCCACAAAAGCGACGCCAACGAGGAUCGCCAUCGACGGUGACCGCUGCUCCAUCGAUCCUUCUUCCCCCGUUUGCUACUCUCACUUCACAGCCACAAUCAUGUCUUCCGCAGUGUUCGCAUCAAUGAGGCUGAAUGCAACAAAUCAAAGCUACUUGCCUGUGCCAAUCACACUUGCGACAGCAUAUAAGAUGCAGCAUGGAGAUAAUCUGAAGUUAAAAACUUCCCAUGGCUUGAAGAUAAAGAUCAAAAUCAAGGAAGUAGCUAGCACACUGUACAUGACGACAGGAUGGAGAUAAUCUGAAGUUAGAAACUGGAGAAACGAUUCUUUUCAGGAUGCCAUCAAGGUCUAAAGCGUGUGUUAUGAUACUGAACAGACAAGGCCUUAUUAGAUGUCCAGUGAAGACCCCAUCCAACAGCUCAUCAGCUAACAAAAGGUCCCCUGAUCCAUCAGGUCAAUUAACCAGAGCAAGCACAUUUGACCAUGCAUCUUCUAGCAAAAGCGUUCCAUUUCUGAGGAAUGGAACAGGCAGUAACAAAAGAAAACCUAGCAGACACCUCCUUCUGCCACCAGAUUAAGCUCACAGCUGAAUUGAAGAGUUACAUCAAAGAGAUUGCAGAUUGUCUAGAAGAAUCAAACAAGUUCUAUGUCGUGCGUAUGAACAGAACAUUCAUGGAACAGGACAGAGUGUACUUUGCGACUGAGUUUUCAAAGAAAUACAUUGUGAACUUGGUUCGAGGCAAGACAGCAAACAUUAGAGUGCAGAUUGCAGGUCGACCCUCAACAACUUAACAUCAGGGUGGUUAGCUUUGCAGCAGCCAACAGCAUCAACUUACACAAUCUGCAUCUUCCACUUUUAUAGGACACAAGUCACCUCAUGCUCACCAUAGAUGCUCUGUGAAAGUUACCUGCAUCUUCAGUAGUCGCUGCUAUUAUCUACCCUGGAACAGCUACUAUAAUUCUCUCUAUUAUCCUUUGCUUGCGGUCUAUCUAACUUCACUUGCUCAGUAAGCACGUGACCUAUAACUGCUUAUCAUUGUCCUCAGCUCCUUUUGUUAUUCAUAAGCUGAGUGAACAAUUAACCACUUUAUGUACAAACAGCUGGCUUGUUAUACUACAGGUUACUAUGGUACUAUUUGUUGUUUCUUUUUA
Molecule: non-coding RNA, 2480 nt
Organism: Oryza sativa Japonica Group (Japanese rice)
Lineage: Eukaryota; Viridiplantae; Streptophyta; Magnoliopsida; Poales; Poaceae
Source: RefSeq, a predicted model, not a curated record